RNAcentral lists this ribosomal RNA (253 nucleotides) under uncultured bacterium. RNAcentral's name for it is "partial 16S ribosomal RNA". It matches the Rfam family "Bacterial small subunit ribosomal RNA", at positions 524 to 776 of the family's 1533-position model. The record is from RNAcentral.
GACGUAGGGCGCGAGCGUUGUCCGGAUUUAUUGGGCGUAAAGAGCUCGUAGGCGGCUUGUCGCGUCGGUCGUGAAAACCCGGGGCUCAACUCCGGGCUUGCGGGCGAUACGGGCAGGCUAGAGUUCGGUAGGGGAGACUGGAAUUCCUGGUGUAGCGGUGAAAUGCGCAGAUAUCAGGAGGAACACCGGUGGCGAAGGCGGGUCUCUGGGCCGAUACUGACGCUGAGGAGCGAAAGCGUGGGGAGCGAACAGG